GUAUAAAAAGCGAGAAUUUUGCAUUCGGUUUCGGCCCGUAGUUUAAGGGUGUGAGUCCCUUUUUAUAUU
This 69-nucleotide transfer RNA is filed under the name Oxymeris dimidiata (dimidiate auger shell). RNAcentral's name for it is "tRNA-Arg". The record is from RNAcentral. Lineage: Eukaryota; Metazoa; Mollusca; Gastropoda; Neogastropoda; Terebridae.